Molecule: ribosomal RNA, 491 nt
Filed under: uncultured bacterium
Lineage: Bacteria
Description: bacterial SSU rRNA
Rfam family: Bacterial small subunit ribosomal RNA
Source: RNAcentral
CCUACGGGAGGCAGCAGUGGGGAAUCUUGCGCAAUGGGCGAAAGCCUGACGCAGCCAUGCCGCGUGAAUGAUGAAGGUCUUAGGAUUGUAAAAUUCUUUCACCGGGGACGAUAAUGACGGUACCCGGAGAAGAAGCCCCGGCUAACUUCGUGCCAGCAGCCGCGGUAAUACGAAGGGGGCUAGCGUUGCUCGGAAUUACUGGGCGUAAAGGGAGCGUAGGCGGAUAGUUUAGUCAGAGGUGAAAGCCCAGGGCUCAACCUUGGAAUUGCCUUUGAUACUGGCUAUCUUGAGUGUGGGAGAGGUAUGUGGAACUCCGAGUGUAGAGGUGAAAUUCGUAGAUAUUCGGAAGAACACCAGUGGCGAAGGCGACAUACUGGCCCAUUACUGACGCUGAGGCUCGAAAGCGUGGGGAGCGAAACAGGAUUAGAUACCCUGGUAGUCCACGCUGUAAACGAUGAGUGCUAGUUGUCGGCAGNANGCUGUCGGUGCGC